RNAcentral lists this long non-coding RNA (284 nucleotides) under Lathyrus oleraceus (garden pea). Its description in RNAcentral is "Pisum sativum (pea) long non-coding RNA (PSAT_LNC004880)". The record is from RNAcentral. Lineage: Eukaryota; Viridiplantae; Streptophyta; Magnoliopsida; Fabales; Fabaceae.
GAAGAUUGGUUCCCCUGUUGUUUUGGAUGCCUUGGAUGCUGGAUGUUUUAUUGUUUUUUUGGAAUGUUUGUAAUUUGUGGCAGUCCUUACUGAUGCCUUGAUGUAAUAUCUGGGCUCUUAAUGAGUUCCAUGGAUUUCUAAUUAUCUCAGCUAUUACAGCUGUGUAUAAUUAUGGUUUGUAUCUGCUAACAUUUAUGUUUUAACAUUUUAUAUGUUAUAACAUCUGUUGUGACAUUCUCUGCUAGGCUAAUUGACAUUUAUUUUGUCUAAUUGGUCACCUUUGG